Molecule: ribosomal RNA, 966 nt
Filed under: uncultured bacterium
Lineage: Bacteria
Description: bacterial SSU rRNA
Rfam family: Bacterial small subunit ribosomal RNA
Source: RNAcentral
GGACGUUUCCCGGAUUAUUGGGCGUAAGAGCUCGUAGGCGGUUUGUCGCGUCUGCCGUGAAAGUCCGGGGCUCAACUCCGGAUCUGCGGUGGGUACGGGCAGACUAGAGUGAUGUAGGGGAGACUGGAAUUCCUGGUGUAGCGGUGAAAUGCGCAGAUAUCAGGAGGAACACCGAUGGCGAAGGCAGGUCUCUGGGCAUUAACUGACGCUGAGGAGCGAAAGCAUGGGGAGCGAACAGGAUUAGAUACCCUGGUAGUCCAUGCCGUAAACGUUGGGCACUAGGUGUGGGGGACAUUCCACGUUUUCCGCGCCGUAGCUAACGCAUUAAGUGCCCCGCCUGGGGAGUACGGCCGCAAGGCUAAAACUCAGAGGAAUUGACGGGGGCCCGCACAAGCGGCGGAGCAUGCGGAUUAAUUCGAUGCAACGCGAAGAACCUUACCAAGGCUUGACAUGAACCGGUAAGACCUGGAAACAGGUCCCCCACUUGUGGCCGGUUUACAGGUGGUGCAUGGUUGUCGUCAGCUCGUGUCGUGAGAUGUUGGGUUAAGUCCCGCAACGAGCGCAACCCUCGUUCCAUGUUGCCAGCGCGUUAUGGCGGGGACUCAUGGGAGACUGCCGGGGUCAACUCGGAGGAAGGUGGGGACGACGUCAAAUCAUCAUGCCCCUUAUGUCUUGGGCUUCACGCAUGCUACAAUGGCCGGUACAAAGGGUUGCGAUACUGUGAGGUGGAGCUAAUCCCAAAAAGCCGGUCUCAGUUCGGAUUGGGGUCUGCAACUCGACCCCAUGAAGUCGGAGUCGCUAGUAAUCGCAGAUCAGCAACGCUGCGGUGAAUACGUUCCCGGGCCUUGUACACACCGCCCGUCAAGUCACGAAAGUUGGUAACACCCGAAGCCGGUGGCCUAACCCCUUGUGGGAGGGAGCUGUCGAAGUGGACUGGCGAUUGGACUAAGUCGUAACAAGGUAACC